Molecule: ribosomal RNA, 497 nt
Filed under: uncultured bacterium
Lineage: Bacteria
Description: partial 16S ribosomal RNA
Rfam family: Bacterial small subunit ribosomal RNA
Source: RNAcentral
GAUGAACGCUGGCGGCGUGCCUAAUACAUGCAAGUCGAGCGAACGGACGAGAAGCUUGCGUCUCUGAUGUUAGCGGCGGACGGGAGAGAAACACGUGGAUAACCUACCUAUAAGACGGGGAUCACUUCGGGAAACGGGAGAUAAUAGGGGAGAAUAUUUUGCACCGCAUGGGUGAAAAGAGAAAGACGGUGUUGGUGGAAGGAAUAGAUGGAUACGCGCUGCAUUAGCUAGUUGGUCAGGAAACAGCUUACGAAGGCAACGAUGCAUAGCCGACCUGAGAGGGUGAUCGGCCACCCUGGAACGUAGACACCCUCCAUACUCCUACGGGAGGCAGCAGUAUGGAAUCUUCCGCAAUGGUCGAAAGCCUUACGGAGCAACGCCGCGUGUGUGAUGACAGUCUUCGGUUCGUAAAACUCUGUUAUUAGUUAAGAACAUAUGUGUACGUAACUGUGCACUUCUUGACGGUACCUAAUCAGAAAGCCACGGCUAACUACGUG